GAUGAACGCUAGCGGGAGGCUUAAUACAUGCAAGUCGAACGGUAAGGUCUAGCUUGCUAGAUACACGAGUGGCGAACGGGUGAGUAACGCGUACACAAUCUACCCUUGAGUGGGGGAUAGCCCUUGGAAACGAGGAUUAAUACCCCAUAGUAUUGUUUUUAUUAUGUAUGAACAAUUAAAACUCAGGUGCUCAAGGAUGAGUGUGCGUCCCAUUAGCUUGUUGGUAAGGUAACGGCUUACCAAGGCGACGAUGGGUAGGGGGCGUGAGAGCGUGACCCCCCACACGGGUACUGAGACACGGACCCGACUCCUACGGGAGGCAGCAGUAAGGAAUAUUGGACAAUGGGCGAAAGCCUGAUCCAGCCAUCCCGCGUGCAGGAUGAAGGCCCUAUGGGUUGUAAACUGCUUUUUUAUGGGAAGAAAAGCUUUGAUUUAUCAGAGCCUGACGGUACCAUACGAAUAAGCACCGGCUAACUCCG
This 479-nucleotide ribosomal RNA is filed under the name uncultured Saprospiraceae bacterium. RNAcentral describes it as "bacterial SSU rRNA". It matches the Rfam family "Bacterial small subunit ribosomal RNA", at positions 28 to 505 of the family's 1533-position model. Lineage: Bacteria; Pseudomonadati; Bacteroidota; Saprospiria; Saprospirales; Saprospiraceae. The record is from RNAcentral.